This 331-nucleotide ribosomal RNA is filed under the name uncultured eukaryote. RNAcentral's name for it is "partial 18S ribosomal RNA". It matches the Rfam family "Eukaryotic small subunit ribosomal RNA", at positions 1470 to 1796 of the family's 1831-position model. The record is from RNAcentral.
CCCUUAGAUGUUCUUGGCCGCACGCGCGCUACACUGUUCGACGCAGCGAGUCUUAACCUUGACCGAAAGGUUUGGGUAAUCUUCAGCAAAGUCGAACGUGAUGGGGAUCGAUCAUUGCAAUUAUUGAUCGUGAACGAGGAAUUCCUAGUAAGUGCAAGUCAUCAGCUUGCGCUGAUUACGUCCCUGCCCUUUGUACACACCGCCCGUCGCUACUACCGAUUGAAUGGUUUAGUGAGAUCUCUGGAUUGACGCUGGCUAGGGGGCGACCCUUGGCCAGACUGUUGAGAAACUGCUCAAACUUGAUCAUUUAGAGGAAGUAAAAGUCGUAACA